Molecule: RNA transcript, 1642 nt
Organism: Brienomyrus brachyistius
Lineage: Eukaryota; Metazoa; Chordata; Actinopteri; Osteoglossiformes; Mormyridae
Exons: 12
Source: RefSeq, a predicted model, not a curated record
ACUAAUUUUUGCAUCUUUUCAGUUGUUAGCUGUGGGAUUGUUCUGACCUAUUACAUAAUGAAACCUGCAGAAGAAAAGCAUCCUAGAAUAAAUUAUUUAUUUAUGUGUAUUCCUUCAUUGUCAUAUUUUAUGACUCUUGCUGUUUAUAAUCAGCUUAUUACCUUGGUGCACAAUGUUUUUAUAUCAGGAUAUUUCCUUGUGAUUGUAAUAGUUCCUUCAUUAAUGUUUGCAUCUUUUGUCGCCGAAGUAUACAUGCAUUCAUGGAGACAUUUCUAUGUGAGUCAGAGGAUCCUAUUGGUAAUAGUAUUCCCAUUUUACCUAAUAAUAAGUGCCCAGUAUGUGAGUUUGACUCUGGAAGAUGACAAAGAGCGACUUGUGAAGUUGGCCCGGUAUACAUUCAUCUAUUCAUCGACUUUUACAUCAUUCUUUGAUGACUUUCUUCGAUUUCGUUUACUUGACAGACCCCGUAUCCUUCUCUAUUGGUUCGGGUCUGUUAGUCUCCCCCUGGUGAAUUCUAUUGCCCUGGCUGUAGUAUUAAUACUCAAAGCAGACACAGGAAAGAGGUCAUUGGACCUACAGGUUGUUGUCUUUUUUUCUGCGUCAUCCAUCCUCUUUAGCUGGUUUCUUAUCAAGAUCACUGAAUACUGGAUGGACAGAAAAAAGGAAAGGCAGUGCAGCUGGUUGGAUAUCAAGGCAUGCCCACCCAGCAGCACUGCUGAGAAGCAUUGCCUCUCUGAGAUGCCCUGCCAGUUCACCAACUAUAAAAUGAUCCUCGGUACCCUGUGUUUACACAAUGGGGACCAGUCAGGGCAAGCCUGCGUGUUUGCUAAUAAAACAAUCAUUUGCCUGUCUUCAGAGACACCAGGAUAAUGAGCCUCAUGAGGGAUCACAUGAUGAUCAGGAGAUGGAAGAGUUUUCACCCACUGAUCCCAAUGGAACAGAAACAGGGGAGGUUACUUGGAGCAGAACUGAUAAAUCUGAAGGAUCCGAGAUACAACUUACAGGUUUCAGAUAUCAGGUCUCAAGUUUGCCAAAGAUUGUUGUGUAACCAAGCUGGUCACAUAAUCAGCUGACUGUUACAGUCCAUUUUGUUUACUGACAUGAAACACCUUGCUGGGUGUAAGAUGAACAUUUGCUUGAACAGGGUCCAUCAUAUUUUUCAUACUUUUUGGUUGAUUUGGUGUCACAAUAUUUACUUUGCAUAAAGCAAUAAAUCUUGAUUUGACACUAAACCUAAUACCAACCAUUACCAUAAUCCUAACCUUAGCCUCAACCCUUACAUGUAAUAGUAUUGAAGAGUAUUAUUUUUUCAUUUUUGUAUUUAAAUGUAAUGAUUGUCAGGAAUUUGUAUGUAGUGGUGUUCUUUCUAGGUAGCAUUGUGGCUUGGUGGGUAUGUAGUAAUCUCUUGAAACUGGUUAAUGAUCAACAGAAUUUUUUUUGUCUCACUGUGACUUUUUUUUCUCUUGUCCCUGCCCUGUCCCCAUAAAAAUUUAAACCUACCUAAUAAAACCCUGUUUAGUAUCUAUUGUGUAUUUAUGUAAAAUGCAUGUGACCUUUGGAAUACUCUGUAGGUGGUAUUGUCAUUCUUGGCACAAGUGUAAACAAGGCCAGAGAACCAAUAAAGCCAUAAUUGUUGACUGCA